RNAcentral lists this ribosomal RNA (1720 nucleotides) under Escherichia coli. Its description in RNAcentral is "partial 23S ribosomal RNA". It matches the Rfam family "Bacterial large subunit ribosomal RNA", at positions 1216 to 2915 of the family's 2925-position model. Lineage: Bacteria; Pseudomonadati; Pseudomonadota; Gammaproteobacteria; Enterobacterales; Enterobacteriaceae. The record is from RNAcentral.
AUGCGUUGUUGGGUAGGGGAGCGUUCUGUAAGCCUGCGAAGGCGUGCUGUGAGGCAUGCUGGAGGUAUCAGAAGUGCGAAUGCUGACAUAAGUAACGAUAAAGCGGGUGAAAAGCCCGCUCGCCGGAAGACCAAGGGUUCCUGUCCAACGUUAAUCGGGGCAGGGUGAGUCGACCCCUAAGGCGAGGCCGAAAGGCGUAGUCGAUGGGAAACAGGUUAAUAUUCCUGUACUUGGUGUUACUGCGAAGGGGGGACGGAGAAGGCUAUGUUGGCCGGGCGACGGUUGUCCCGGUUUAAGCGUGUAGGCUGGUUUUCCAGGCAAAUCCGGAAAAUCAAGGCUGAGGCGUGAUGACGAGGCACUACGGUGCUGAAGCAACAAAUGCCCUGCUUCCAGGAAAAGCCUCUAAGCAUCAGGUAACAUCAAAUCGUACCCCAAACCGACACAGGUGGUCAGGUAGAGAAUACCAAGGCGCUUGAGAGAACUCGGGUGAAGGAACUAGGCAAAAUGGUGCCGUAACUUCGGGAGAAGGCACGCUGAUAUGUAGGUGAAGUCCCUCGCGGAUGGAGCUGAAAUCAGUCGAAGAUACCAGCUGGCUGCAACUGUUUAUUAAAAACACAGCACUGUGCAAACACGAAAGUGGACGUAUACGGUGUGACGCCUGCCCGGUGCCGGAAGGUUAAUUGAUGGGGUCAGCGCAAGCGAAGCUCUUGAUCGAAGCCCCGGUAAACGGCGGCCGUAACUAUAACGGUCCUAAGGUAGCGAAAUUCCUUGUCGGGUAAGUUCCGACCUGCACGAAUGGCGUAAUGAUGGCCAGGCUGUCUCCACCCGAGACUCAGUGAAAUUGAACUCGCUGUGAAGAUGCAGUGUACCCGCGGCAAGACGGAAAGACCCCGUGAACCUUUACUAUAGCUUGACACUGAACAUUGAGCCUUGAUGUGUAGGAUAGGUGGGAGGCUUUGAAGUGUGGACGCCAGUCUGCAUGGAGCCGACCUUGAAAUACCACCCUUUAAUGUUUGAUGUUCUAACGUUGACCCGUUAUCCGGGUUGCGGACAGUGUCUGGUGGGUAGUUUGACUGGGGCGGUCUCCUCCUAAAGAGUAACGGAGGAGCACGAAGGUUGGCUAAUCCUGGUCGGACAUCAGGAGGUUAGUGCAAUGGCAUAAGCCAGCUUGACUGCGAGCGUGACGGCGCGAGCAGGUGCGAAAGCAGGUCAUAGUGAUCCGGUGGUUCUGAAUGGAAGGGCCAUCGCUCAACGGAUAAAAGGUACUCCGGGGAUAACAGGCUGAUACCGCCCAAGAGUUCAUAUCGACGGCGGUGUUUGGCACCUCGAUGUCGGCUCAUCACAUCCUGGGGCUGAAGUAGGUCCCAAGGGUAUGGCUGUUCGCCAUUUAAAGUGGUACGCGAGCUGGGUUUAGAACGUCGUGAGACAGUUCGGUCCCUAUCUGCCGUGGGCGCUGGAGAACUGAGGGGGGCUGCUCCUAGUACGAGAGGACCGGAGUGGACGCAUCACUGGUGUUCGGGUUGUCAUGCCAAUGGCACUGCCCGGUAGCUAAAUGCGGAAGAGAUAAGUGCUGAAAGCAUCUAAGCACGAAACUUGCCCCGAGAUGAGUUCUCCCUGACUCCUUGAGAGUCCUGAAGGAACGUUGAAGACGACGACGUUGAUAGGCCGGGUGUGUAAGCGCAGCGAUGCGUUGAGCUAACCGGUACUAAUGAACCGUGAG